RNAcentral lists this ribosomal RNA (484 nucleotides) under uncultured bacterium. Its description in RNAcentral is "partial 16S ribosomal RNA". It matches the Rfam family "Bacterial small subunit ribosomal RNA", at positions 30 to 507 of the family's 1533-position model. The record is from RNAcentral.
AUUGAACGCUGGCGGCAGGCCUAACACAUGCAAGUCGAGCGGAUGAGGGGAGCUUGCUCCUGGAUUCAGCGGCGGACGGGUGAGUAAUGCCUAGGAAUCUGCCUGGUAGUGGGGGAUAACGUCCCGAAAGGAACGCUAAUACCGCAUACGUCCUGCGGGAGAAAGUAGGGGAUCUUCGGGCCUUGCGCUAUCAGAUGAGCCUAGGUCGGAUUAGCUAGUUGGUGAGGUAAUGGCUCACCAAGGCGACGAUCCGUAACUGGUCUGAGAGGAUGAUCAGUCACACUGGAACUGAGACACGGUCCAGACUCCUACGGGAGGCAGCAGUGGGGAAUAUUGGACAAUGGGCGAAAGCCUGAUCCAGCCAUGCCGCGUGUGUGAAGAAGGUCUUCGGAUUGUAAAGCACUUUAAGUUGGGAGGAAGGGCUGCAGGUUAAUACCCUGCAGUUUUGACGUUACCAACAGAAUAAGCACCGGCUAACUUCGUG